AACGAACGCUGGCGGCAUGCCUAACACAUGCAAGUCGAACGAAACCUUCCGGUCUUGUUUCGCACCUGUGCUUAACGCGUGGUAACCUACCCUUAGGUUCUGUAUCCCUCCCCUCAAGGUAUGCUAAUACCAGUUAAUGUCUUCGCACCUAAGAUUUCUCGCAUUUGGAUGUGCCCGCGUUGGAUUCGCUAGUGGGUAGGGUAAAAGCCUACCAAGGCGACGAUCCAUAGCUGGUCUGAGAGGAGGAUCAGCGACACUGGGACUGAGACAAGGCCCAGACUCGUACGGGAGGUAGGAGUGGGGACAAAAGGACAAUGGGCGAAAGGCUGAGACAGCAAGGCGGGGAGAGUGAUGAAGGGGUUAGGGUCGUAAAGCGCUUUUAACCGGGAUGAUAAUGACAGUACCGGGAGAAUAAGCUCCGGCUAACUACGUG
Molecule: ribosomal RNA, 433 nt
Filed under: uncultured bacterium
Lineage: Bacteria
Description: partial 16S ribosomal RNA
Rfam family: Bacterial small subunit ribosomal RNA
Source: RNAcentral